RNAcentral lists this ribosomal RNA (493 nucleotides) under uncultured bacterium. RNAcentral describes it as "partial 16S ribosomal RNA". It matches the Rfam family "Bacterial small subunit ribosomal RNA", at positions 28 to 507 of the family's 1533-position model. The record is from RNAcentral.
GACGAACGCUGGCGGCGUGCCUAACACAUGCAAGUUGAGCGACGAACCAGGGCUUGCCCUGGGGCAAAGCAGCGAACGGGUGAGUAACACGUGGGUAACCUACCCCGAUAACCGGGACAACCCGAGGAAACUCGGGCUAAUACCGGAUGUGCUCACUGGACUUCGGUUCAGUGCGUAAAGGAAGCUUCGGCCUCCGUAUCGGGAGGGGCCCGCGGCCCAUUAGUUUGUUGGUGAGGUAACGGCUCACCAAGACCGCGAUGGGUAGCUGGCCUGAGAGGACGAUCAGCCACACUGGGACUGAGACACGGCCCAGACUCCUACGGGAGGCAGCAGUGGGGAAUCUUGCGCAAUGCGCGAAAGCGUGACGCAGCAACGCCGCGUGGGGGAAGAAGGCCUUCGGGUUGUAAACCCCUUUCAGGAGGGACGAAGGUUCGGCGGUGAAUAGCCGUCCGGACUGACGGUACCUCCACAAGAAGCCCCGGCUAACUACGUG